Molecule: transfer RNA, 66 nt
Filed under: Fannia armata
Lineage: Eukaryota; Metazoa; Arthropoda; Insecta; Diptera; Fanniidae
Description: tRNA-Pro
Source: RNAcentral
CAAGAGAUAGUUUAAUAAAAAUAUUAAUUUUGGGGAUUAAUGAUAAAGAAUUUUCUUUUCUUUUGA